Molecule: ribosomal RNA, 2906 nt
Filed under: Escherichia coli
Lineage: Bacteria; Pseudomonadati; Pseudomonadota; Gammaproteobacteria; Enterobacterales; Enterobacteriaceae
Description: 23S ribosomal RNA
Rfam family: Bacterial large subunit ribosomal RNA
Source: RNAcentral
GGUUAAGCGACUAAGCGUACACGGUGGAUGCCCUGGCAGUCAGAGGCGAUGAAGGACGUGCUAAUCUGCGAUAAGCGUCGGUAAGGUGAUAUGAACCGUUAUAACCGGCGAUUUCCGAAUGGGGAAACCCAGUGUGAUUCGUCACACUAUCAUUAACUGAAUCCAUAGGUUAAUGAGGCGAACCGGGGGAACUGAAACAUCUAAGUACCCCGAGGAAAAGAAAUCAACCGAGAUUCCCCCAGUAGCGGCGAGCGAACGGGGAGGAGCCCAGAGCCUGAAUCAGUGUGUGUGUUAGUGGAAGCGUCUGGAAAGGCGCGCGAUACAGGGUGACAGCCCCGUACACAAAAAUGCACAUGCUGUGAGCUCGAUGAGUAGGGCGGGACACGUGGUAUCCUGUCUGAAUAUGGGGGGACCAUCCUCCAAGGCUAAAUACUCCUGACUGACCGAUAGUGAACCAGUACCGUGAGGGAAAGGCGAAAAGAACCCCGGCGAGGGGAGUGAAAAAGAACCUGAAACCGUGUACGUACAAGCAGUGGGAGCACGCUUAGGCGUGUGACUGCGUACCUUUUGUAUAAUGGGUCAGCGACUUAUAUUCUGUAGCAAGGUUAACCGAAUAGGGGAGCCGAAGGGAAACCGAGUCUUAACUGGGCGUUAAGUUGCAGGGUAUAGACCCGAAACCCGGUGAUCUAGCCAUGGGCAGGUUGAAGGUUGGGUAACACUAACUGGAGGACCGAACCGACUAAUGUUGAAAAAUUAGCGGAUGACUUGUGGCUGGGGGUGAAAGGCCAAUCAAACCGGGAGAUAGCUGGUUCUCCCCGAAAGCUAUUUAGGUAGCGCCUCGUGAAUUCAUCUCCGGGGGUAGAGCACUGUUUCGGCAAGGGGGUCAUCCCGACUUACCAACCCGAUGCAAACUGCGAAUACCGGAGAAUGUUAUCACGGGAGACACACGGCGGGUGCUAACGUCCGUCGUGAAGAGGGAAACAACCCAGACCGCCAGCUAAGGUCCCAAAGUCAUGGUUAAGUGGGAAACGAUGUGGGAAGGCCCAGACAGCCAGGAUGUUGGCUUAGAAGCAGCCAUCAUUUAAAGAAAGCGUAAUAGCUCACUGGUCGAGUCGGCCUGCGCGGAAGAUGUAACGGGGCUAAACCAUGCACCGAAGCUGCGGCAGCGACGCUUAUGCGUUGUUGGGUAGGGGAGCGUUCUGUAAGCCUGUGAAGGUGUGCUGUGAGGCAUGCUGGAGGUAUCAGAAGUGCGAAUGCUGACAUAAGUAACGAUAAAGCGGGUGAAAAGCCCGCUCGCCGGAAGACCAAGGGUUCCUGUCCAACGUUAAUCGGGGCAGGGUGAGUCGACCCCUAAGGCGAGGCCGAAAGGCGUAGUCGAUGGGAAACAGGUUAAUAUUCCUGUACUUGGUGUUACUGCGAAGGGGGGACGGAGAAGGCUAUGUUGGCCGGGCGACGGUUGUCCCGGUUUAAGCGUGUAGGCUGGUUUUCCAGGCAAAUCCGGAAAAUCAAGGCUGAGGCGUGAUGACGAGGCACUACGGUGCUGAAGCAACAAAUGCCCUGCUUCCAGGAAAAGCCUCUAAGCAUCAGGUAACAUCAAAUCGUACCCCAAACCGACACAGGUGGUCAGGUAGAGAAUACCAAGGCGCUUGAGAGAACUCGGGUGAAGGAACUAGGCAAAAUGGUGCCGUAACUUCGGGAGAAGGCACGCUGAUAUGUAGGUGAAGUCCCUUGCGGAUGGAGCUGAAAUCAGUCGAAGAUACCAGCUGGCUGCAACUGUUUAUUAAAAACACAGCACUGUGCAAACACGAAAGUGGACGUAUACGGUGUGACGCCUGCCCGGUGCCGGAAGGUUAAUUGAUGGGGUUAGCGGUAACGCGAAGCUCUUGAUCGAAGCCCCGGUAAACGGCGGCCGUAACUAUAACGGUCCUAAGGUAGCGAAAUUCCUUGUCGGGUAAGUUCCGACCUGCACGAAUGGCGUAAUGAUGGCCAGGCUGUCUCCACCCGAGACUCAGUGAAAUUGAACUCGCUGUGAAGAUGCAGUGUACCCGCGGCAAGACGGAAAGACCCCGUGAACCUUUACUAUAGCUUGACACUGAACAUUGAGCCUUGAUGUGUAGGAUAGGUGGGAGGCUUUGAAGUGUGGACGCCAGUCUGCAUGGAGCCGACCUUGAAAUACCACCCUUUAAUGUUUGAUGUUCUAACGUUGACCCGUGAUCCGGGUUGCGGACAGUGUCUGGUGGGUAGUUUGACUGGGGCGGUCUCCUCCUAAAGAGUAACGGAGGAGCACGAAGGUUGGCUAAUCCUGGUCGGACAUCAGGAGGUUAGUGCAAUGGCAUAAGCCAGCUUGACUGCGAGCGUGACGGCGCGAGCAGGUGCGAAAGCAGGUCAUAGUGAUCCGGUGGUUCUGAAUGGAAGGGCCAUCGCUCAACGGAUAAAAGGUACUCCGGGGAUAACAGGCUGAUACCGCCCAAGAGUUCAUAUCGACGGCGGUGUUUGGCACCUCGAUGUCGGCUCAUCACAUCCUGGGGCUGAAGUAGGUCCCAAGGGUAUGGCUGUUCGCCAUUUAAAGUGGUACGCGAGCUGGGUUUAGAACGUCGUGAGACAGUUCGGUCCCUAUCUGCCGUGGGCGCUGGAGAACUGAGGGGGGCUGCUCCUAGUACGAGAGGACCGGAGUGGACGCAUCACUGGUGUUCGGGUUGUCAUGCCAAUGGCACUGCCCGGUAGCUAAAUGCGGAAGAGAUAAGUGCUGAAAGCAUCUAAGCACGAAACUUGCCCCGAGAUGAGUUCUCCCUGACCCUUUAAGGGUCCUGAAGGAACGUUGAAGACGACGACGUUGAUAGGCCGGGUGUGUAAGCGCAGCGAUGCGUUGAGCUAACCGGUACUAAUGAACCGUGAGGCUUAACCUU